AGUGAACGCUGGCGGUAGGCCUAACACAUGCAAGUCGAACGGCAGCACAGUAAGAGCUUGCUCUUACGGGUGGCGAGUGGCGGACGGGGGCGGAAUACAUCGGAAUCUACUUUUUCGUUGGGGGUAACGUAGGGAAACUUACGCUAAUACCGCAUACGACCUACUGGUGAAAGCAGGCGAUCUUCGGACCUUUCGCGAUUGAAUGAGCCGAUGUCGGAUUAGCUAGUUGGCGGGGUAAAGGCACACCAAGGCGACGAUCCGUAGCUGGCAUGAGAGGAUCAAUAGGUAGACGGGAACUGAGAAACGGCAGAGACACCGACGGUGGGACGCAGUCGGGAAUAUUGGACGAGGGGGGCGAGGCGGAUCUAGCGAUAUCGCGUGAGGGAUGAAGGAGUUAGGCUGGUUGAGUGCUGAUGUUCGGAAAGAAAAGCAGCAGGUUAAUCCCCCGCGGUAAUGACGGUACCCAAAGAAUAAGCCCCGGCUAACUUCGUG
RNAcentral lists this ribosomal RNA (492 nucleotides) under uncultured bacterium. RNAcentral's name for it is "partial 16S ribosomal RNA". It matches the Rfam family "Bacterial small subunit ribosomal RNA", at positions 29 to 507 of the family's 1533-position model. The record is from RNAcentral.